CCUACGGGAGGCAGCAGUGAGGAAUCUUGGUCAAUGGCCGAGAGGCUGAACCAGCCAAGUCGCGUGAGGGAAUAAUGUCCUAUGGAUUGUAAACCUCUUUUGUCAGGGAGCAAAGUCACCCACGUGUGGGAGUUGGAGAGUACCCGAAGAAAAAGCAUCGGCUAACUCCGUGCCAGCAGCCGCGGGAAUACGGAGGAUGCGAGCGUUAUCGGGAUUUAUUGGGUUUAAAGGGUGCGUAGGCGGGUUAUCAAGUCAGCGGUAAAAGCGUGGAGCUCAACUCCAUCCAGCCGUGGAAACUGAUGAUCUAGAGUGGGCGAGAGGGAUGCGGAAUGCGUGGUGUAGCGGUGAAAUGCAUAGAUAUCACGCAGAACUCCGAUGGCGAAGGCAGCAUACCGGCGCCCGACUGACGCUGAGGCACGAAGGCGAGGGUAUCGAACAGGAUUAGAUACCCCGGUAGUC
RNAcentral lists this ribosomal RNA (459 nucleotides) under uncultured bacterium. RNAcentral's name for it is "partial 16S ribosomal RNA". It matches the Rfam family "Bacterial small subunit ribosomal RNA", at positions 338 to 795 of the family's 1533-position model. The record is from RNAcentral.